GUGAGCCUAGGUCGCCUCAUGCCUCAGGCCCACCUUUAAUAACUAUGCCUAACCCAUAAAAUUCAUUUGAUAUCUUGAUAUUUAUAAUGUAAGAAAUAAUAUAAGUCACUAUCACCACCAUAUCUAUCCAGUGACAUGUAUAAACUAAAUGUGCCUUGUAGUCAUCAACCACAUUUUACAAUCUAUUAAUGUCAAUCCACACAUAAAGUCUACAUAAAAACACAAUUCAAAACUCUUAAAUAACCUAAAAUAGUCGUUUCUUCCAUAAUGGAGGUCAAAAUAAGAAUUAGCACAUCAAAAUUAGUAGGGAGAUUCUUGACAAAUUUUUUGCUAACAUAGGAAUUGCUAAUGUGGCACUGACAUGCAAUGAUGUGGUGAUGACGUCAGCUUGAUGUGGCAGUGUCUUCAGCAUGAACAAGUGUGGGAUCAAGUGAAAUGUAGCUCAUAGUGAUAGCGCAAGCUCAACUUGCAAAAUUGGAUGGUUCUUGACCCAAAUAGAUGAUAAAAAGCAUGACAGUUCGACAAUAGGCACACGUCAGUCGGCAAACGAUAAGGAGCAAGUGAGCUUCAAACACCGAAUUUCAUUGGUUUUCAAUCGGGUCACAACUCAAGUCAAAAUCUAACGUGAUCAAAUCUCAAAGCAAGGACGUCUAACAAGAGUUCCAUCAAUGGAAAAACACUUUUUGGCAGGUAUCAAAACAUAGGGAAGUGCCAGAUGUCAAAAUUGUCCAAAUCCAAUUGCGACAAUUGAGAUACAAAACUUGGCUUUCCACCUUAAGUGACCAAACUGGUGCCGAUGAGGUUGCCUAUAGACAGGUAGCAGUUUGGUGGUAGUGGCACGGUUGUUUGGCGACGGGAGAGGUGGUGGGUGUUAAGGAUAACAGUGAGGUCUAUGUUUGUUGUGGUGAGUUUCUUACAAGAUAAGAAAAGGCAGUGAGAAAAAAUCAUUCACAUAUUGGAUUUUCAACAUCUAAUACCAAAUUCAUAUGGAACAAGCUCCAAUUGAUGUAGAGCCACUAGAGUUAUGAGAAACUAGAGGAUUCCUCCAAGGGUAGAGAAACAUAUUAUCUAGAGAAAUAAAUUCUCAAAUCUUAUUAAUUGU
Molecule: unclassified non-coding RNA, 1102 nt
Filed under: Hevea brasiliensis (rubber tree)
Lineage: Eukaryota; Viridiplantae; Streptophyta; Magnoliopsida; Malpighiales; Euphorbiaceae
Source: RNAcentral